This 78-nucleotide ribozyme is filed under the name unclassified sequences. Its description in RNAcentral is "pistol ribozyme". It matches the Rfam family "Pistol ribozyme". The record is from RNAcentral.
ACUCGGCUUGGCGAGUAUAAAUAGCCAUUAAGCCAAGCGCGUCCUUGCCCGGUGUAAAAAACCGGGCAAGGGGUUGGA